AUGCGUCGAGACCAUCGUUGCAACGUCGCGACCUCUGCCCUGGAGUACCUCAAGUUCGUCUACAUGAAACUGCCAAGUACCUCUACGCACGGAUACCGUCAAGUACCUACACCGGCAAGGCUACACGGACGUUCGUUCCACUACUACACCGAAACGUCAAGUUCGACUAUGUUUUGUCGCCCCGGCCAGAGUCGUCAAGUACCCGAAGACCAUAUUGCACCAAGUACAUCUACCGCCGUCUUCGGAAUUGUCAAGAAUUCCAAGUACCGCGACACCUAG
RNAcentral lists this ribosomal RNA (279 nucleotides) under Triticum aestivum (bread wheat). RNAcentral describes it as "partial small subunit ribosomal RNA". The record is from RNAcentral. Lineage: Eukaryota; Viridiplantae; Streptophyta; Magnoliopsida; Poales; Poaceae.